Molecule: unclassified non-coding RNA, 382 nt
Filed under: Zea mays
Lineage: Eukaryota; Viridiplantae; Streptophyta; Magnoliopsida; Poales; Poaceae
Description: misc RNA Zm00001eb133170
Source: RNAcentral
CUGUAACGCUUGCCUCACUUCGUCUCUCCCAGCCACCCUCUAAUUUUCUUGUCGCGGACGUCUCUUUCACUGCUCAUCCUUCUUCUUCCGGCCAUCAGUCUCACCGCUCGCCUUUAGCUCUUUUACUCUCCAGCAACCGUCUCCUGCCAUCAGCCAGGCGUGCGCAACUCAUACAGCAGCAGUUCCAACGAAGCACAUCAGUUGUGCGGUCGUGCCUUAACGUUGGACCUCCACUUCCACUCCCUCUCUUUGGUCGAGCUUCACCUGUUCGCCGAUCUGGCUGCCCGUCGUCCUCUCCAUGUCCCGCGCCUUGGUCCGGUCUCGGCUGCUGUUAACCAUCGCGUCCGGACAUCAGUGCAUGUCACCUUCGGUUUCUCCCUGC